This is a non-coding RNA of Paramisgurnus dabryanus, 718 nucleotides long. The record is from RefSeq and is a predicted model, not a curated record. NCBI's taxonomy places the organism in Eukaryota, Metazoa, Chordata, Actinopteri, Cypriniformes, Cobitidae.
AUGAUCAAACUCAAGAAACUCUUAAGUACAGAUGAUUUGUUUAAAGUUAUAUGUAUUUUACUGUUGUAUUUACUUGAAGCUUUCUUAGAUUUUGAAACGAAGUAAACACGUAAUGUGUGUUGCUAAUGUUGGGCCACGUAAUAUGUAAUACAUUUACGUUUUAAUGAAUAGUCUAACGAUUUAUAGUCGUUGUACUCUAUUGUUAUAAUAUGUCUUUUUGACUGAAUACAUGUUUGUUUUAUUUGUCUAUAUCCUAGAUUCGCAGCUGAACACAUCCUUCUACACUGUAUGCAAACAUGCAACAUCAUAACACACAGUACAAGGAGUCAGACUGGCAUAUGAGGAGCAAAGGAACCCAGGCAGUAGCAUCGUUUCACAAUGUUUCCAUCACCAUCAUCAGUGGAUGCCUUUGCCGUCCGUAGCCUGAGAUUUCAGAUUUGCAGCAAAAAAAUUGGAUUUUCUCAUUUAUUGGAAUGCUGUGCAGGUUGUACCUUGCAGCCAUCCAUUACAAUGUCACCAAGCCGUAACAAAAGCAGGAGAGGGAAAGUACAAGGCUAUGUUCCCAAAACACACAAGUGACAUACCUUAUGUGGAUGAUGUGAUCAGGCUUGUGUUUGAUGUGGUAUUUGAAGAUAAGCUGAAGGAAACCCCGAUUCCAAUGGACCUGGCAUCACAGUUUGAGAGACCUUCAAAGGAGGACGUGAUUGCAUGCCAUCUU